UAAGACCUCGCGCUAUUGGAUGAGCCAAAGUCGGAUUAGCUAGUUGGUGGGGUAAUGGCCUACCAAGGCGACAAUCCGUAGCUGGUCUGAGAGGACGACCAGCCACACCGGAACUGAGACACGGUCCGGACUCCUACGGGAGGCAGCAGUGGGGAAUAUUGGACAAUGGGGGAAACCCUGAUCCAGCGACGCCGCGUGUGUGAAGAAGGCCUGCGGGUUGUAAAGCACUUUUAGUGGGGACAAAAAGCCACGGGUUAAUACCCGGUGGUCUUGAUUUAACCCAAAGAAAAAGCACCGGCUAACUCUGUGCCAGCAGCCGCGGUAAUACAGAGGGUGCGAGCGUUAAUCGGAAUUACUGGGCGUAAAGCGCGCGUAGACGGUUUUGUAAGUCAGAUGUGAAAUCCCCGGGCUCAACCUGGGAACU
This 424-nucleotide ribosomal RNA is filed under the name uncultured bacterium. RNAcentral describes it as "bacterial SSU rRNA". It matches the Rfam family "Bacterial small subunit ribosomal RNA", at positions 202 to 622 of the family's 1533-position model. The record is from RNAcentral.